GCAGGGGUGCCGGAGUGGUCAAACGGGCUGGGCUUAGGACCCAGUGGCUUAGUGCCUACGGGGGUUCGAAUCCUCUCCCCUGCA
RNAcentral lists this transfer RNA (84 nucleotides) under Candidatus Woesearchaeota archaeon. RNAcentral's name for it is "tRNA-Leu". It matches the Rfam family "tRNA". Rfam says of the family: Transfer RNA (tRNA) molecules are approximately 80 nucleotides in length. Their secondary structure includes four short double-helical elements and three loops (D, anti-codon, and T loops). The record is from RNAcentral. Lineage: Archaea; Nanobdellati; Candidatus Woesearchaeota.